Molecule: long non-coding RNA, 385 nt
Filed under: Monodelphis domestica (gray short-tailed opossum)
Lineage: Eukaryota; Metazoa; Chordata; Mammalia; Didelphimorphia; Didelphidae
Description: lncRNA (ENSMODG00000038512.1)
Source: RNAcentral
UUCUAUCAAUUUAAUCCUUCCCUCAGGAGCAAGAAAGCAGUGGAAGCUUUGAAAACCAGACCACAUGUCUUACUAUCAAGGAUAUUCCAGGGUGAAGAAGCUCCAGGUGCUAAGGGAGGUUUCGGGGUGAGUGCAGGUACCUAGAAGAUAUGUCUCCUAUUUGAGUAAGGUUCCUGACUGAUCCAGAAGGUGAACAAAGUGACUUUUCCCUAAUUUCUCUUUCAAAGUCUCUCAAGUAAUAGGAUUUUAAGAUUUAGAAUGAGAAGGCAUCUUAGAAGUCUUCUAGUUCAACUUCUUUAUUUGAACCAGAGCCAUAUACAAUAAUAUUUUCAAUUGGAGCAAAUGGGGGCGAAGUAUAGAGGUGGUAGCUCAUCUAGGCUGAGUU